Molecule: ribosomal RNA, 114 nt
Filed under: Bacillus velezensis
Lineage: Bacteria; Bacillati; Bacillota; Bacilli; Caryophanales; Bacillaceae
Also listed under: 1 other name
Source: RNAcentral
UCUGGUGAUGAUGGCGAAGAGGUCACACCCGUUCCCAUGCCGAACACGGAAGUUAAGCUCUUCAGCGCCGAUGGUAGUCGGGGGUUUCCCCCUGUGAGAGUAGGACAUCGCCAG